RNAcentral lists this long non-coding RNA (903 nucleotides) under Prunus persica (peach). RNAcentral describes it as "long non-coding RNA (PPER_LNC006109)". The record is from RNAcentral. Lineage: Eukaryota; Viridiplantae; Streptophyta; Magnoliopsida; Rosales; Rosaceae.
UACUGUAUGGUGUAGGUUUAUUACCCAUACAACAGUAUUUAUUUAAAAGGGUGUCGCGGGUUUAUCGCCCAUGCCUUUACUUUUAUUUAAAUGUAUGGAGCAGAAUUAGUGCCCAUACAAGCACCUUUACUUUACUGCAAAUUUACUUUACCGCACAUUUAUUUUAUUUACUGUAUGGUGUAGGAUUAUUACCCAUACGACAGUAUUUAUUUAAAAGGGUGGUGCGGGUUUAUCGUCCACGCCUUUACUUUUAUUUAAAUGUAUGGUGCGGGUUUAUCGUCCAUACCAGUAAUUUAUUUACCAGCAAUUUAUUAUAUGGAUUAAAUGUGCUGUAUGAUGAGUUUUUACAGUAUGCAGAUCAGGACCAGAAGUUCCUUGAUCCUCAUCAUACAAUUACAUCAGGACUUGCAGAUCCUUGAUGAUGAUGUUAAUAUGAGAGCUGGCAGUCUCUCCGGUACUAUAUUUGUAAACAUGUGAUCGGACUUGAGGGUCCUUGAUCCCUGACAUGUAAAUAAGGACCUGGGGUUCCUUAAUGAUGUAACAGUACCGUAUUGGUUCAUAAUGCCGUACACAUGGAUGAUAACUGUACUGGCAAAUGUACUAGAACCUACAGUUCCUUAAACUCAUGGAUGAGCAAUUAAAUGAGAUGCCAGAAGUUCCUCAAAAUAUGGACAAUUAUGUAAGGGCUUGAAGUCCAGAAAUAUGUACAGAAAAUUGUAAAAAUGUCCAUACCAUAAGAAUAUGUGAUUUUGGCCCGAAGUUCAAAAUCUAAGGGGAUUGAAUGUCCAUACCAUGAGAAUAUGUGAUUUUGGCCUGAAGUUCAAAAUUUAACAGUGUUGAGAACCUGAAGUUCCAACAAUUAAAUGGACAACCCUUGAGGUAUUAUUGCAAAUUGUGGUAUGC